This 28-nucleotide non-coding RNA is filed under the name Xenopus tropicalis (tropical clawed frog). Lineage: Eukaryota; Metazoa; Chordata; Amphibia; Anura; Pipidae. The record is from RNAcentral. RNAcentral also lists the same sequence under 3 other names.
GCUAAGAUCAAGUGUAGUAUCUGUUCUU